Long non-coding RNA from Mesocricetus auratus (golden hamster), 802 nucleotides. RefSeq lists it as uncharacterized. Lineage: Eukaryota; Metazoa; Chordata; Mammalia; Rodentia; Cricetidae. The transcript has 4 exons. The record is from RefSeq and is a predicted model, not a curated record.
GGAGCACAGAGAAGCAGUAUACAACAGAGAUGCUGUCUCUGUAGCCAGGCUUCGCCUCCAUCUGUGUCAGCCUCUCCCUCUGAGCAUGUGACGUUACUGAGCCAGCUGGUGGCCAUCAGGCUCGGAGGAUUUUGUCUUCUCUGACCUUGACUCCCUCUCUUGGUCAAAUUCUGCAGUCCUGUUCCCUUAGUGCUUCAAAAAGGAAGGCAGAAGACAGGCCCUUAACAGGAAAUGGCAGAGCGUUCAUGGUUAUAGGAACUGGAGGAACAUGGCCAAAGAUGCUUGGCUGUGGAAACAUAUGCAGAAUUUGAGCUUGCAAGAGCAAUUACUGUGCUGUGCUCUCUUGGAUCCUGAAGCUGUCUUAUGGAGACUUGGAACUGUGUCUUUCUCCAAGCAUCUACCUCGAUGAAUGGACAAUGGCCCAAGACUCUUUGUUUUUGUAUCAAGCUUGGCAUUGAACGUGUCUAUAAUUCCUACACUUGAGAGGCAAAGGCAAGAGGGUGAGGAGUACAAGAGCAGUCUUGACAACAUGGCAAGUUUGGAGUCAAUAUAGGCUAUACAAGACUCUGUCUCAAUAAACAUGAAUAAAUAAAAUUUAAAAAACAUGUUUAUAUACCUUUGUGAAUACAAUUUGUAUUUCAAAUUCUGAGUUUACAGAUAAUCUCUUUUUAAUUAAAAAGUUUUCAUCUUUCUUCUACCCCAACCCCUUCUAGAUGCUUCCCACUUCUUUACCCACUCAACUUAAUGUUCUCUCUCUCUCAAAAAAUGGAAAUCAAAACAAAACAAAAACGUAAAAAACCAA